UGGGGAAUAUUGGUCAAUGGAGGCAACUCUGAACCAGCCAUGCCGCGUGCAGGAAGAAGGCCCUAUGGGUCGUAAACUGCUUUUGAACAAGAGAAAACCCCGGUACGUGUACUGGGUUGAUAGUAUUGUUAGAAUAAGCAUCGGCUAACUUCGUGCCAGCAGCCGCGGUAAGACGAAGGAUGCAAGCGUUAUCCGGAUUCAUUGGGUUUAAAGGGUGCGUAGGCGGACUGAUAAGUCAGUGGUGAAAUCUCUCGGCUUAACCGAGAAACUGCCAUUGAUACUGUUAGUCUAGAGUACAGAUGAUGUGGGCGGAAUAUGACAUGUAGUGGUGAAAUGCUUAGAUAUCGUCAAGAACACCGAUAGCGAAGGCAGCUUACUAGGCCAUAACUGACGCUGAGGCACGAAGGUGCGGGGAUCAAACAGGAUUAGAUACCCGCGUAGUCCCUGAGCGGGCUGGCAAGGCGCAU
Molecule: ribosomal RNA, 467 nt
Filed under: uncultured bacterium
Lineage: Bacteria
Description: bacterial SSU rRNA
Rfam family: Bacterial small subunit ribosomal RNA
Source: RNAcentral